RNAcentral lists this ribosomal RNA (253 nucleotides) under uncultured bacterium. Its description in RNAcentral is "partial 16S ribosomal RNA". It matches the Rfam family "Bacterial small subunit ribosomal RNA", at positions 524 to 776 of the family's 1533-position model. The record is from RNAcentral.
UACGGGGGGGGUAAGCGUUGUUCGGAAUUACUGGGCGUAAAGGGCUCGUAGGCGGCCAACUAAGUCGGACGUGAAAUCCCUCAGCUUAACUGGGGAACUGCGUCCGAUACUGGAUGGCUUGGAUUUGGGAGAGGGAUGCGGAAUUCCAGGUGUAGCGGUGAAAUGCGUAGAUAUCUGGAGGAACACCGGUGGCGAAGGCGGCAUCCUGGACCAAUAUUGACGCUGAGGAGCGAAAGCGUGGGGAGCAAACAGG